RNAcentral lists this ribosomal RNA (408 nucleotides) under Dietzia sp. RNAcentral's name for it is "partial 23S ribosomal RNA". It matches the Rfam family "Bacterial large subunit ribosomal RNA", at positions 2519 to 2925 of the family's 2925-position model. The record is from RNAcentral. Lineage: Bacteria; Bacillati; Actinomycetota; Actinomycetes; Mycobacteriales; Dietziaceae.
UGGCACCUCGAUGUCGGCUCGUCGCAUCCUGGGGCUGGAGUAGGUCCCAAGGGUUGGGCUGUUCGCCCAUUAAAGCGGCACGCGAGCUGGGUUUAGAACGUCGUGAGACAGUUCGGUCUCUAUCCGCCGCGCGCGUAAGAAACUUGAGGAAAGCUGUCCCUAGUACGAGAGGACCGGGACGGACGAACCUCUGGUGUGCCAGUUGUUCCACCAGGAGCAUCGCUGGUUAGCUACGUUCGGAAGGGAUAACCGCUGAAAGCAUCUAAGCGGGAAGCCUGUUCCAAGAUGAGGUUUCUCACCACCUUGCGUGGUUAAGGCCCCCCACAGACCAUGGGGUUGAUAGGCCGGAACUGGAAGCGCAGCAAUGCGUGGAGGUGACCGGUACUAAUCGGCCGAGGGCUUACACAC